GACAACCCUCAUUGCUGCAGGAACUUUAUCUCACCGCGAAAUGUGCAUACGUAUUGCUCUAUAUUCUAAUUUUUAUAAGCAUUUACAAUUAAUGCGCGUUAUCCUUCUGUUAAGCAUUCAAAUUAAGCUAGUUUUUUAAUAGAGUACCAAGAUUAUACUUG
Long non-coding RNA from Hibiscus syriacus, 161 nucleotides. RefSeq lists it as uncharacterized. The record is from RefSeq and is a predicted model, not a curated record. The transcript is spliced from 3 exons. Lineage: Eukaryota; Viridiplantae; Streptophyta; Magnoliopsida; Malvales; Malvaceae.